Molecule: ribosomal RNA, 253 nt
Filed under: uncultured bacterium
Lineage: Bacteria
Description: partial 16S ribosomal RNA
Rfam family: Bacterial small subunit ribosomal RNA
Source: RNAcentral
UACGUAGGAGGCAAGCGUUGUCCGGAAUUACUGGGCGUAAAGGGCGUGUAGGUGGUUUCGUAAGUCUGGCGUGAAAUUUUUCGGCUUAACCGGGAAAGGUCGUCGGAUACUGCGGAACUAGAGGACGGUAGAGGCGUGUGGAAUUCCGGGUGUAGUGGUGAAAUGCGUAGAGAUCCGGAGGAACACCAGUGGCGAAGGCGACACGCUGGGCCGUACCUGACACUGAUGCGCGACAGCAUGGGGAGCAAACAGG